GACGAACGCUGGCGGCGUGCUUAACACAUGCAAGUCGAACGGUGAAGCCCUUCGGGGUGGAUCAGUGGCGAACGGGUGAGUAACACGUGAGCAACCUGCCCCUGGCUCUGGGACAACCACUGGAAACGGUGGCUAAUACCGGAUACGACCCGCCUCGGCAUCGAGUGUGGGUGGAAAGUUUUUCGGCUGGGGAUGGGCUCGCGGCCUAUCAGCUUGUUGGUGAGGUGAAGGCUCACCAAGGCGACGACGGGUAGCCGGCCUGAGAGGGCGACCGGCCACACUGGGACUGAGACACGGCCCAGACUCCUACGGGAGGCAGCAGUGGGGAAUAUUGCACAAUGGGCGAAAGCCUGAUGCAGCGACGCCGCGUGAGGGAUGACGGCCUUCGGGUUGUAAACCUCUUUCAGCUCCGAAGAAGCGAAAGUGGCGGUAGGAGCAGAAGAAGCACCGGCUAACUACGUG
Molecule: ribosomal RNA, 462 nt
Filed under: uncultured bacterium
Lineage: Bacteria
Description: partial 16S ribosomal RNA
Rfam family: Bacterial small subunit ribosomal RNA
Source: RNAcentral